RNAcentral lists this ribosomal RNA (443 nucleotides) under uncultured archaeon. RNAcentral describes it as "bacterial SSU rRNA". It matches the Rfam family "Archaeal small subunit ribosomal RNA", at positions 15 to 463 of the family's 1478-position model. The record is from RNAcentral.
CGCCGGACCUGACUGCUAUCGGAUUGAUACUAACCCAUGCGAGUCAUUGUAGCAAUACAAGGCAUACGGUUCAGUAACGCGUAGUCAACCUAACCUAUGGACGGGAAUAACCUCGGGAAACUGAGAAUAAUGCCCGAUAGAACAUUAUGCCUGGAAUGGUUUAUGUUCCAAAUGAUUUAUCGCCGUAGGAUGGGACUGCGGCCUAUCAGUUUGUUGGUGAGGUAAUGGCCCACCAAGACUAUUACAGGUACGGGCUCUGAGAGGAGUAGCCCGGAGAUGGGUACUGAGACACGGACCCAGGCCCUAUGGGGCGCAGCAGGCGAGAAAACUUUGCAAUGUGCGAAAGCACGACAAGGUUAAUCCGAGUGGUUUCUGCUAAAGAAACCUUUUGUCAGUCCUAGAAACACUGAUGAAUAAGGGGUGGGCAAGUUCUGGUGUCAGCA